AACGAACGCUGGCGGCAUGCCUAACACAUGCAAGUCGAACGAGACCUUCGGGUCUAGUGGCGCACGGGUGCGUAACGCGUGGGAACCUGCCCUUAGGUUCGGAAUAACUCCCCGAAAGGGGUGCUAAUACCGGAUAAUGUCUUCGGACCAAAGAUUUAUCGCCUUUGGAUGGGCCCGCGUUGGAUUAGCUAGUUGGUAGGGUAACAGACUACCAAGGGGACGAUCCAUAGCUGGUCUGAGAGGAGGAGCAGCCACACUGGGGCUGGGACACGGCCCAGACUGGGAGGGGAGGGAGCAGUGGGGAGUGUUGGGGGGUGGGGGGAGGGGUGGUGGAGCGGUGCGGGGUGAGUGGUGGAGGGGUUAGGGUUGUGAAGGUGUUUUGCCCGGGGUGAUAGUGAGGGUGCCGGGAGGGUGGGCGGGGGGUAGCUGCGUG
This 433-nucleotide ribosomal RNA is filed under the name uncultured bacterium. RNAcentral describes it as "partial 16S ribosomal RNA". The stretch from base 20 to 302 matches the Rfam family "Bacterial small subunit ribosomal RNA", at positions 47 to 358 of the family's 1533-position model. The record is from RNAcentral.